CAGCAGCCGCGGUAAUACGAAGGGGGCUAGCGUUGUUCGGAUUAACUGGGCGUAAAGGGUGCGUAGGCGGGCGCUUAAGUCAGGGGUGAAAUCCCAAGGCUCAACCUUGGAACUGCCUUUGAUACUGGGUGUCUUGAGUCCGGGAGAGGUGAGUGGAACUGCGAGUGUAGAGGUGAAAUUCGUAGAUAUUCGGAAGAACACCAGUGGCGAAGGCGACUGACUGGACAAGUAUUGACGCUGAGGUGCGAAAGCGUGGGGAGCAAACAGGAUUAGAUACCCCCGUAGUCCCUGUCUCUUAUAC
This 301-nucleotide ribosomal RNA is filed under the name uncultured bacterium. Its description in RNAcentral is "partial 16S ribosomal RNA". It matches the Rfam family "Bacterial small subunit ribosomal RNA", at positions 509 to 807 of the family's 1533-position model. The record is from RNAcentral.